This 422-nucleotide ribosomal RNA is filed under the name uncultured bacterium. RNAcentral describes it as "bacterial SSU rRNA". It matches the Rfam family "Bacterial small subunit ribosomal RNA", at positions 355 to 774 of the family's 1533-position model. The record is from RNAcentral.
UGAGGAAUAUUGGUCAAUGGGGGCAACCCUGAACCAGCCAAGUCGCGUGAAGGAUGAAGGUCUUAUGGAUUGUAAACUUCUUUUACACGGGAAUAAAGCGGGGGACGUGUCCCUCUUUGCAUGUACCGUGUGAAUAAGGAUCGGCUAACUACGUGCCAGCAGCCGCGGUAAUACGUAGGCAGCAAGCGUUGUUCGGAGUUACUGGGCGUAAAGAGUGCGUAGGCGGUUUUCUAAGUUCGGUGUGAAAUCUCCCGGCUUAACUGGGAGGGUGCGCCGAAGACUGGGAAGCUGGAGUGUGGGAAAGGCAGGCGGAAUUCCUGGUGUAGCGGUGAAAUGCGUAGAUAUCAGGAGGAACACCGGCGGUGUAGACGGCUUGCUAGACCAUAACUGACGCUGAGGCACGAAAGCGUGGGUAGCAAACA